UUGGUACCAUACUUAAUGACACGAAUGUAACACUGCAAGACAUGUAUCAUCGGCCCGAUUGAGGCUUUUAUGCAGCAGUCUCGGGCCGACCUGGCCAGGCCCGUCGGCACCGCUUGAUCGCCAUUUCCACUGCAUCACCAUCUUCAUACGAACUCUUCCAGUUCAGAGUCUUCUUAGUCUUCCUUCUCCAGAAUUCCAGUUCUUGCUGCUGCUUAACCAGCUGAAUGAUGCGGCUUUUGACCUUUCAAAUGGGCCGGUUGCUGAUGAGUGUGGCGAAGAACUUGGAGAUAUACUGUUAAAUUGGUUGAAAUCGUGGGAACAAGCAGAUACAUUGACAUCUAGGACUUUGGCGAGCAAACUGCUUCUGCUAGAGAGAGCUCUUUGGCUGAUAAUGCUAAAUCAGGCAUGAAGAAAACACUGGCUUCUUCAUGCUUAAUACAUGCUUGAGGGUCUGUCAUGAGCCUCAUGAUCAUGCAUUUGGUGAUUUAGCAUUGGGGAGGCGCUUAUCAUCUGCUGGAAGGAGGUUCCAGUCCAUGGGACCAUAUGGUCAAGGCAAACUUGCUAAGAUUGCAAAGAUAAUGAUUGCAACGGGAAAGCGUUUGGCUGCAACCCAAGUAUCUGCCGCAAUGGUUGAAGAACCUAAGAAGGAAGCCCGAACUUUUAAGUUUGGAGAACUUUAAGUAGAAGUUACAUCAGAUAAAGCCAACAUUGGGGCUGCUAUCGGUUUUUCAAUUAAGUAACUGAUGCUUUUUGUCACGAUUGAUUUUUUUGCCUAGUUAUAUUAGAUUGAAGAGUAUUAAAUUGAAAGCUACCGUUUAAAAUGCAGAAUUCUUUCAUGGCAACUAGCUCAAGGUGUUCAAAGCAUCCCCGAGAGCUCUUUGCAGUAUGCAAAUGAUAAUGCUUUGCUGCUGGCCAAGUCUCUAAGGGGUGCUCUACUUGCGACGGGCUAUUCAUCAGCUAUCUUGUCCACAAUCGCAUCCUUUGGCGUUCUUAUGCUUGCAAGACAGCUUAAAUCUGAGAACAAGUGACGUUGUCCUAGUUUUGUCCACGUUUUGCUUGUAGAUGACCAUUGACUUGAGGAAGAGCUGAACAUGACUGAAAAUGUAUUACUAUCGUCGGUAUGAAUCCAUGGGUUAUGGACACGUACUGAUAGAAUAUAUCAUUAUGUACAUUAACUUUUUGGGCAUGAAGAAUGCUU
This is a long non-coding RNA of Eucalyptus grandis, 1198 nucleotides long. RefSeq lists it as uncharacterized. The transcript has 6 exons. Lineage: Eukaryota; Viridiplantae; Streptophyta; Magnoliopsida; Myrtales; Myrtaceae. The record is from RefSeq and is a predicted model, not a curated record.